Molecule: ribosomal RNA, 256 nt
Filed under: uncultured bacterium
Lineage: Bacteria
Description: partial 16S ribosomal RNA
Rfam family: Bacterial small subunit ribosomal RNA
Source: RNAcentral
UACGAAGGGGGCUAGCGUUGUUCGGAAUCACUGGGCGUAAAGCGCACGUAGGCGGAUCUUUAAGUCAGGGGUGAAAUCCCCGAGGCUCAACCUCGGAACUGCCCUUUGAUACUGGGGGAUCUCGAGUCCGGGAGAGGUGAGUGGAACUGCGAGUGUAGAGGUGAAAUUCGUAGAUAUUCGCAAGAACACCAGUGGCGAAGGCGGCUCACUGGCCCGGAACUGACGCUGAGGCGCGAAAGCGUGGGUAGCAAACGGG